This 492-nucleotide ribosomal RNA is filed under the name uncultured bacterium. RNAcentral's name for it is "partial 16S ribosomal RNA". It matches the Rfam family "Bacterial small subunit ribosomal RNA", at positions 29 to 507 of the family's 1533-position model. The record is from RNAcentral.
AGUGAACGCUGGCGGUAGGCCUAACACAUGCAAGUCGAACGGCAGCACAGUAAGAGCUUGCUCUUACGGGUGGCGAGUGGCGGACGGGUGAGGAAUACAUCGGAAUCUACUUUUUCGUGGGGGAUAACGUAGGGAAACUUACGCUAAUACCGCAUACGACCUACGGGUGAAAGCAGGGGAUCUUCGGACCUUGCGCGAUUGAAUGAGCCGAUGUCGGAUUAGCUAGUUGGCGGGGUAAAGGCCCACCAAGGCGACGAUCCGUAGCUGGUCUGAGAGGAUGAUUCGCCACCCUGGAACCGAGACACGGUCCAGACUCCCUAGGGAGGCAGCAGUGGGGAAUAUUUGACAAUGGGGGGAAGCCCGAUCCAGCCAGACCGGGUGGGGUAAGAAGGCCCUCCGGUUGGAAAGCCCUUUUUUUGGGAAAGAAAAGGAGCAGGUUAAAAACCCGGCGGUCUGACGGUACCCAAAGAAUAAGCCACGGCUAACCUCGUG